Molecule: ribosomal RNA, 253 nt
Filed under: uncultured bacterium
Lineage: Bacteria
Description: partial 16S ribosomal RNA
Rfam family: Bacterial small subunit ribosomal RNA
Source: RNAcentral
GACGGAGGGUGCAAGCGUUGUUCGGAAUUACUGGGCGUAAAGCGCGGGCAGGUGGCUCUUUAAGUCCUUGGUGAAACUCCGGAGCUCAACUCCGGACGUGCAUAGGAUACUGGAGGGCUAGAGACUGGUAGAGGCGAGCGGAAUUCCUGGUGUAGCGGUGGAAUGCGUAGAUAUCAGGAGGAACACCGGUGGCGAAGGCGGCUUGCUGGGCCAGUUCUGACGCUGAGGAGCGAAAGCGUGGGGAGCGAACAGG